This 196-nucleotide microRNA precursor is filed under the name Oryza brachyantha (malo sina). RNAcentral describes it as "MIR812 microRNA precursor family". It matches the Rfam family "MIR812 microRNA precursor family". Lineage: Eukaryota; Viridiplantae; Streptophyta; Magnoliopsida; Poales; Poaceae. The record is from Rfam by way of RNAcentral.
AAUAAACCAAAUUUUUAUAUUUUAUCUUCAAUUUUUGACUCUUCGUCUUAUUCAAAAACUUUUUAUGAUUGAUAUUUUUUUUAUUAGAUGAUAAAUCAUAAAUAGUACUUUACGUGUAACUAAUAUUUUUUAAUUUCCUGAAAAUUUUUCAAAUAAGACGGGACGGAUGGUAAAACGUUAGACAUGGAAAUGAAAG